Molecule: non-coding RNA, 122 nt
Organism: Picea glauca (white spruce)
Lineage: Eukaryota; Viridiplantae; Streptophyta; Pinopsida; Pinales; Pinaceae
Source: Rfam
AUGUAAUGUAAUUCCUACAACAUCAAUGCAUCAAAUUCCAUUAGAAGUGUGCAGUUAAGCGCACUUGGGCUAGAGUAGUACUAGGAUGGUUGACCUCUUAGGAAGUCCCAGUGUUUUACAUG